This 751-nucleotide ribosomal RNA is filed under the name uncultured bacterium. RNAcentral's name for it is "bacterial SSU rRNA". It matches the Rfam family "Bacterial small subunit ribosomal RNA", at positions 28 to 776 of the family's 1533-position model. The record is from RNAcentral.
AUUGAACGCUGGCGGCAGGCUAACACAUGCAAGUCGAGCGGUAACAUUUCUAGCUUGCUAGAAGAUGACGAGCGGCGGACGGGUGAGUAAUGCUUGGGAACAUGCCUUGAGGUGGGGGACAACCGUUGGAAACGACGGCUAAUACCGCAUAAUCUCUACGGAGUAAAGGGGGCUUUUAGCUCUCGCCUUUAGAUUGGCCCAAGUGGGAUUAGCUAGUUGGUGAGGUAAUGGCUCACCAAGGCGACGAUCCCUAGCUGGUUUGAGAGGAUGAUCAGCCACACUGGAACUGAGACACGGUCCAGACUCCUACGGGAGGCAGCAGUGGGGAAUAUUGCACAAUGGGCGCAAGCCUGAUGCAGCCAUGCCGCGUGUGUGAAGAAGGCCUUCGGGUUGUAAAGCACUUUCAGUCAGGAGGAAAGGUUAGUAGUUAAUACCUGCUAGCUGUGACGUUACUGACAGAAGAAGCACCGGCUAACUCCGUGCCAGCAGCCGCGGUAAUACGGAGGGUGCGAGCGUUAAUCGGAAUUACUGGGCGUAAAGCGUACGCAGGCGGUUUGUUAAGCGAGAUGUGAAAGCCCCGGGCUCAACCUGGGAACAGCAUUUCGAACUGGCAAGCUAGAGUGUGAUAGAGGGUGGUAGAAUUUCAGGUGUAGCGGUGAAAUGCGUAGAGAUCUGAAGGAAUACCGAUGGCGAAGGCAGCCACCUGGGUCAACACUGACGCUCAUGUACGAAAGCGUGGGGAGCAAACAGG